CUACGGGUCGCUCCAGUGGGGAAUAUUGCACAAUGGGCGCAAGCCUGAUGCAGCCAUGCCGCGUGUAUGAAGAAGGCCUUCGGGUUGUAAAGUACUUUCAGCGGGGAGGAAGGGAGUAAAGUUAAUACCUUUGCUCAUUGACGUUACCCGCAGAAGAAGCACCGGCUAACUCCGUGCCAGCAGCCGCGGUAAUACGGAGGGUGCAAGCGUUAAUCGGAAUUACUGGGCGUAAAGCGCACGCAGGCGGUUUGUUAAGUCAGAUGUGAAAUCCCCGGGCUCAACCUGGGAACUGCAUCUGAUACUGGCAAGCUCGAGUCUCGUAGAGGGGGGUAGAAUUCCAGGUGUAGCGGUGAAGUGCGUAGAGAUCUGGAGGAAUACCGGUGGCGAAGGCGGCCCCCUGGACGAAGACUGACGCUCAGGUGCGAAAGCGUGGGGAGCAAACAGGAUUAGAUACCCUCGUAGUC
RNAcentral lists this ribosomal RNA (464 nucleotides) under uncultured bacterium. Its description in RNAcentral is "partial 16S ribosomal RNA". It matches the Rfam family "Bacterial small subunit ribosomal RNA", at positions 339 to 795 of the family's 1533-position model. The record is from RNAcentral.